This 72-nucleotide transfer RNA is filed under the name Pangasianodon hypophthalmus (striped catfish). Its description in RNAcentral is "tRNA-Glu". The record is from RNAcentral. Lineage: Eukaryota; Metazoa; Chordata; Actinopteri; Siluriformes; Pangasiidae.
UCCCUGGAGGAUUAGUGGUUACGCCUCCGCGCUCUCACCACUGCGGCUUGGGUUCGAUUUCUGGCCAGGGAG